This 492-nucleotide ribosomal RNA is filed under the name uncultured bacterium. Its description in RNAcentral is "partial 16S ribosomal RNA". It matches the Rfam family "Bacterial small subunit ribosomal RNA", at positions 29 to 507 of the family's 1533-position model. The record is from RNAcentral.
AGUGAACGCUGGCGGUAGGCCUAACACAUGCAAGUCGAACGGCAGCACAGUAAGAGCUUGCUCUUACGGGUGGCGAGUGGCGGACGGGUGAGGAAUACAUCGGAAUCUACUUUUUCGUGGGGGAUAACGUAGGGAAACUUACGCUAAUACCGCAUACGACCUACGGGUGAAAGCAGGGGAUCUUCGGACCUUGCGCGAUUGAAUGAGCCGAUGUCGGAUUAGCUAGUUGGCGGGGUAAAGGCCCACCAAGGCGACGAUCCGUAGCUGGUCUGAGAGGAUGAUCGGGCACACUGGAUCUGAGACACGGUCCAGACUUCUACGCGAGGACGCAGUGGGGAAUAUUGGACAAUGGGGGCAAGGCUGAUCCAGCCAUACCGCGUGGGUGAAGAAGGAGUUCGGGUUGUAAAGCCAUUUUGUUGGGAAAGAAAAGCAGCAGGUUAAUACCCCGCUGGUCUGACGGUACCCAAAGAAUAAGCACCGGCUAACUUCGUG